Homo sapiens (human) is the source of this 149-nucleotide non-coding RNA. It matches the Rfam family "Metazoan signal recognition particle RNA". From Rfam's summary of the family: The signal recognition particle (SRP) is a universally conserved ribonucleoprotein. It is involved in the co-translational targeting of proteins to membranes. The eukaryotic SRP consists of a 300-nucleotide 7S RNA and six proteins: SRPs 72, 68, 54, 19, 14, and 9. Lineage: Eukaryota; Metazoa; Chordata; Mammalia; Primates; Hominidae. The record is from Rfam.
GCUGGGCAUGGUGGCGCGUGCCUGUAAUCCCAGCUACUUGGGAGGCUGAGACAGGAGAAUCGCUUGAACCCGGGAGGUGGAGGGUGCAGUGAGGUGAGAUCACGCCACUGCACUCCAGCCUGGGCAACAAGAGCGAAAUUCUGUCUCAA